GUGAGUCAUCGAAUCUUUGAACGCACCUUGCGCUCUUUGGUAUUCCGAAGAGCAUGCCUGUUUGAGUGUCAUUAAAUUCUCAACCUCGUCGCUUUUGCGAUGAUGGCUUGGAUGUGGAGGUUUCUGCAGGCUCAGGUCUGCUCCUCUCAAAUGAAUUAGUGGGUGCCCCGCGCAAACCUAUCUAUUGGUGUGAUAAUUAUCUACGCCGUGGAUUCUAGGAUUGCUGUAAAAAGGUGUUUGCCCUGCUUCUAACCGUCCAUUGACUUGGACAACUUGAACCAUUUGACCUCAAAUCAGGUA
This 300-nucleotide unclassified non-coding RNA is filed under the name uncultured Panaeolus. RNAcentral describes it as "sequence contains 5.8S rRNA gene, ITS2". The stretch from base 1 to 71 matches the Rfam family "5.8S ribosomal RNA", at positions 84 to 154 of the family's 154-position model. The record is from RNAcentral. Lineage: Eukaryota; Fungi; Basidiomycota; Agaricomycetes; Agaricales; Bolbitiaceae.